Molecule: ribosomal RNA, 253 nt
Filed under: uncultured bacterium
Lineage: Bacteria
Description: partial 16S ribosomal RNA
Rfam family: Bacterial small subunit ribosomal RNA
Source: RNAcentral
UACGAGGGGUGCAAGCGUUGCUCGGAAUUAUUGGGCGUAAAGGGUAGUUCGGUGGUCUCAUUUGUCAGGGGUGAAAGCCUUGGGCUUAACCCAAGAAGUGCCCUUGAAACGGUGAGACUGGAGUCUUGGAGAGGGUCGUGGAAUUCCCGGUGUAGCGGUGAAAUGCGUAGAGAUCGGGAGGAACACCAGAGGCGAAGGCGGCGACCUGGACAAGUACUGACACUCAACUACGAAAGCGUGGGUAGCAAACAGG